UUCACUGCCCAUCAUUCAGAGUCUGUCUUCUGGGGACUCUGGAAGGCACAGCGUCUGAGCAAAGUCACUCCACUGUGCAGUGGACCCCGGGAACUGAUUUACACCUACACAUGUUCACGUGCCUAUGAGUUCUGUAACACUAUGCUCAAUCACUAGGACUUACGGGCAUAAGAACACAUGUACAUACAAGAUCACAUGCUUUAUGGUCUUAACACACAUCCAUGUACCGUGUGUCUACCUGUCCGUCCUUCUGCUCCUCAGCAUGACCACGUGCCAGCCAGUGAUGGCAUUGCCUCAGAAGCACUCCUCAUCUUCACUUUAAAGUCCCAAGGCAGGUCUCUGAAUGAGACCAGCCUGAGCAUCUGGGGUGCCUCCAGGAUGAAGCUAAUAAGUCUGGCUUCGAAGAGGUCCCUGCUUCCCCACAGGCAGUAGGAUGCUGGAAGGUUCCUGGGAAGCCAAACAGCAGCCUGUCUUUGUCUGACGCUGGGGGAAAUCUUUUCUCAUGGCCACAGAGGCAGUGACUCAAAAGGCGGGGUCCAGAGACAAAGGAGACCUAUGAAUGCAAGAUCACAAGGAGGAGAGGGAAGUUCUUGGCAACACCGUUGAAAUGAUUGGAGAGAGAGAAGCAGGGCCAGCACAAGGUGGCUAGAAGAAACCUGCCCUACUUUGGCAAGCCAGAACCUUGGAGGCACUCAAGGGCCCACGGUUGGCACCAUUGCUAACUGGAGAUAGGACCUUGGGCCAGAUGUCCUGGGUCUCAAGGCUCCUGGCAAAGUGGACUCUGUUGGAGUUAUAGGAAUGAGGUCAGGUCAGCUACCUGGAAAUUCCUUCCCAAACAUCAAGCAUUUCUCACCGGCCAGCACCACUGUGAAGUCAAGUCUGGCCGGAUGGCAAGGAAGAGGACAUAGACAAGAACUUAACCUAUAAGAUGAGUACGUGAUGCCCAGAUAAAGGGGAAUGGGGCAAAUAAAGGGUCUUACACUCAUGUCAGACUUACAGCCCAGAUUCUAGGGCAAGACACUCUGCUCAGAACCCCUGUGCUCUCUCAAUAACUGUGUCAGCAGAUCUGUCAUUUACUCUCUCCCAGCCACCUCCUCUGUCACAGCCAGAUGGAAAAGAUGUAUAGGUCAGAACUGGGGGAGGGGUGGAGACCUCCGCCUCCUCCCAGCCUACCACCUCCCAGCACUGCACGGGCUUAUUCCAUGGGCAAGACUGAGAGAUUAUACCUCGGACUGUUGGUAACUGGCUCAGUCUUUAGUUUCCCCAGAGGGUAGGAGGUGGGGCUAAUCAUCGCAACACAGUAGACCUGCCUUAUUGGCCUUCCUGGUGAUCAGCCUCAUUUUGAAGUUGUUAGGACAGCCUAGCCUCCAGUCUGUUCAUCAUCCCAAACGCUGGGCAAACUGGGCAAGCCCUGGGGGCUCUCAGAAGCCUCUAUGCUGGAGACUAGAGAGCAAGAGAAAAGGUUAUAGCAAAAUUGUAACCAAGGACGCUCCCAUCUCACUUAUCACUUGGCAACUGAUAAGAGUUUGUGCGCCACAGGGGAAGAGUAGAUUCCUUCCUCCUACCACAGUGGCAGCCUGGUCUGUGCUUGAGGCCCACAGAGUAGGGACCAGUGCUGUGCUGAGGCCCACGCAGUAGGGACCUGUCAUCAAUGAGACCUGCCUGAUCUGGGUUGCAGUCUUUUAACCUAUUCUUGUAUGAGGUCGUUGAGCAGUAAUGGGUUGAGUAGUUUUGCCAAAGUCCUACAUUCAUAAGCCAUAGUUCUGUAGCCAGACCCAAGCGUCUUCCUAGGGCCUGUGAUCUGGCCCUGUCCACGGUCUCUGACAGGUCUCCUGUUCAUGAGGCUGUUGGAACCCAGAACCCCUAAUAUGAAAGCAAGGUGCCCUGAGGCCCAGUGCACGUCUGGUAUCCUCUAUGCAGCACUUGUCCCAGCCCUAGCAGACACCGACCAUGCUGGCUUCACAUCCAGCCCUCCGGUCAGGACAUCACGGGGCCAGCAGAGCAAGCAGUGGUGAAGCCUGCUUUCCAUCACUUGUGCCUUUCCUCAGUUCCCCCCAUCUGCAAGAUUAGGGAUAAUAGUACUUGACCCAUUCAUCUUAUUGAGCUGUUGACAGACUGACUGACGGACUGUGGUCAACCCACGUAUCUUCAGUUUCCACCUCCACAGAGGCAACCAAUUACAGAUUCGAAAUAUAAGAUGUGGACGGACGUUUUCUGGACAUCCUCUUCUAAGCUGUGUGACAGACAACCAUUUGCACACUAUUUAUAAGUGUUAGGCAUGCAAAGACCUAUGUGGGAGGACUUUGUCGUCUCCUGUGUGUGAAGGCUGCCAUUUUCUAUCAGGGACUGUCAGUAAUUUAGGGUUCCAGAAGUCUGUCCUCUGUGAAUGGCAAAGGACUGAUGCACAUCCCAGCAGUUCCUAUUAAGAAUGCCUUCAGUAUUCGCUGCAACCUUCUGGUCCUCUCUGUCCCUGGGGUCCUUCCUAGCUGUUUAGCUGACAGAUUAGGUUUCAUAUUUUGAACCCCACCGCUGCCCCAGUUCCCAAUGUUUCGAUUUAUUGCUGCUCUUCAUGUCAGACCUUCAUGCUCCGCCUGACUCACCCCGUCAACCCAACUGGGACCCAGCCUGGGCCGUGCCUCACCUCAGCCCAGAUCUUACUUAAACCCAUCACCUCUGGGUGGCACUUCCUCAUUCCAGCAUCCCCUGUAUCUGACUCCACGACCUUACCCAGCACCAUCAGAGUUCACCACUUUCUUUGCUUUCUGUCUCUGUCCUCCCACCACCGUCCCUACAGAAGUUGAAUUCUUCUAUGUCCUGCACAGUGUUUAGUCAGGAAGUGGCAAGUUAAAGUGAUGUGGAAGCCUCGUUCUCAUGAGCCCAGAACACAGCUGUGUACAGAGAGAGAGUGUAUACGGAAAGUGGCUCACGAUGCCAGAGGGUGGGGAGUCUAGAGUCUGCAGGAUGGACCAGCAGCUGCAGACCCAGGACAUCUGACCACACAAGUCUACAGCUGCCUGCUGGAGAAUUCUCCCAGCUAAGAGAAUGGCCAUUUGUUCUAUGGGGCCUUCUUCAACCAUUAGGGGAUCUGUAUGUUUGGUUGUUUGUUCAGGCAUGGUCUCUCUAUGUAGUAUUAUCUGUCCUGGAAC
Molecule: small RNA, 3146 nt
Filed under: Rattus norvegicus (Norway rat)
Lineage: Eukaryota; Metazoa; Chordata; Mammalia; Rodentia; Muridae
Description: uncharacterized LOC102549733
Source: RNAcentral